RNAcentral lists this microRNA (23 nucleotides) under Haplochromis burtoni (Burton's mouthbrooder). RNAcentral describes it as "abu-miR-27d-5p". Its record names the gene abu-miR-27d-5p. Lineage: Eukaryota; Metazoa; Chordata; Actinopteri; Cichliformes; Cichlidae. The record is from miRBase by way of RNAcentral.
CAGAGCUUAGUUGACUGCUGACC